UCCAAAUUUUUAAGGAGCAUUACGAAUCGUAGAUAUAUGAGAUACAUACUUGCAAAAUAUAGUUUAUUAUCAGUUAGUUAUGACUUAUAAGCAAUUGAAAAUACUAUCCUAGGAUUUAAUUUAAAUGCCACAAAAAUAGAUAAACGCAGUGAUUAAUAUUUUUAUGGACCCACAUGCCCAAACAGGACAGGUUCAUCUGACAAAAAUUAUGCACUUGCAACUUGCAUGGUAGGUAAAGAUCCCUGCACCUAUUUACUUUUCUCUUGUUCAUAUCACAGCCACUCGUAUUUUACUUGUUUUUUUUUUCAAUCCAGGAAUCGAACAGCAGCGGAAUCGAAUUUCAACCACAUCCACAGAUAGUCAUGCGUACUUGAUCCCCAUCAAUUUAAACGAUUUGGUAUGUUUAAUGGGAAACAAGGCAUUUCCUUUUUCAUCUUUAUAAUCUUCGUAGAACACCUCGUUGUAUACUUUGAAGCCCACUCUUUCGGCUAGAACUUGAGACUGGAUUCGACUAUACAUAUUCAUACAUCCUUUCACGUCGUAAGCUUUGGCUAGUUUUUCCAAACACAGUAAAAGAUUGUAGCCUAUAUCCAUCCCUCUGUAAUCUGGUUUUACACAUAGACCGAAUCCUCGCAAAAGUCUAUCGGUUCCAAGAAUUUCGUAAGGGUCGGCGGCGUUCAUCAAAUCGUUAGCGAUCCGUUUCACUUUUCGGAUUUUUUCCCCAGGAUCCUGUAUUGUUUUGGGAAUAACAGAGAUUACUUUAUGAAGAAUUUAUAUCAGGAGCUGCCACAUCUUCGUCUAAAACUGCCAAGAUACUCGUCCUAGUUUCUAUUGCUGUUUUCAAAGCGUGCAAGUAACGAAUAGUGUCAUUCAUAUCGUCCAAGAAUUUCACCGAUCUGAAACACAAAAUUUUCAU
Molecule: long non-coding RNA, 916 nt
Organism: Planococcus citri (citrus mealybug)
Lineage: Eukaryota; Metazoa; Arthropoda; Insecta; Hemiptera; Pseudococcidae
Exons: 3
Source: RefSeq, a predicted model, not a curated record